CCUCUCGGGGGUAAGCGGGCAGAACUUGCAAGUAUUGACAGGAGAUUCAGACUUGGUGCUGGGGGUUGGGUGUUUGGGUUAAGUUGGUCAUUCGUGGCCUGGCUGACUCUUGUGCCUUAAUCCUCUGGUAAUGCGUCGCACUUCUCCUCGUCAUCCGGGUUGCAUGCAACUGAGUUGAUAGUUUAGGUGCCGAGAUCCUGCGAAUCCUUGUUGGUUCGAGUCUUGGUUACCGACUAUUUGUGCGGUUGUUGAAAGCGAACAAGCGCUUGGCGCGGUUGAUUUAUGGCACGAGUCGUGUGUAUGUUGCGUAUGGACGGGUAACCGUAAUGCGUUGUCUGCACUGGCUGUCAGUGUGAGUAGUUGGCAUUGUUCAGUAUUGCAAUCUCAAGCAUGCGUGGUCUGCCUGU
RNAcentral lists this ribosomal RNA (407 nucleotides) under Willemia denisi. RNAcentral's name for it is "partial 28S ribosomal RNA". Lineage: Eukaryota; Metazoa; Arthropoda; Collembola; Poduromorpha; Hypogastruridae. The record is from RNAcentral.